CAACUUGGCCACAAGUUUUAUGGGAGGCCACAAGAGAUUGUCACUUUCACAAAUCAGAAUACUUCUUCUAUGGUGCCUACAAAGGAGCAAAUUGGUGACACAAACCAAGUUGGCUUAACUCGAGCAAUAUACUCAACUGAUGGCUUUGCUCAAACUACAAAUCCGACAAUCCCAUAAACUUUCUGCUAACAUGUUUAGAGUUUGAAUUCACUCUCUUCUAAACUUAUAGAUACACGUAAAAUUUCUAGUACUUAUAUGAGUUUAUCUACUUACAAUAUGAAAGACAAAACCAUUUAUAAAAUACCGAAGGUUGUGGAUACCAAAACCACAGACCAUAUGGUCUACUCAGUUUCGUUUCUUUCAGCCAUCAAGUCUGAAAUCUCUCAAUCUGUUGCCCUUCCUAAUGGAGAUAUAACACAAGCUACUCAUAUAGGAAGUGUUAGAAUUACAACUUAUUUAUUGCUACAUGAUGUUCUAUGUGUUCCAAUAUCCUUUUCUUUUAACCUUAUAUCUGCUAGAAAACUUGCUCAAACCUCCAAGUUUUGUCUCAUAUUUUCUUCUGAUAUAUGUUAUUUGCAGGACCUUUCAACUUGGAGGACGAUUGGACUAGGUGAAGUGGGGCAAGUCUUAUAUCAUUUAGUGCAUAGAGAAGUCUUCCCCUACAAUUCCGAUACAGGACCUACCAAAGCUAGCUAACAAAACUGAUUUUUCAACUUCUACUACUACCAAUCAAGAAGAUUUCGAGCUGUGGCAGUUCAAAUUAGGUAACCUCUCAGAUUCUAGAUUACAUUUGGCCAAUCUAUAUCAUGACCUUAAGACAAAACAUACCAAGAAACCUUGUUCUAUCUAUCCCUUAGUUUAAUUGCAUAGGCUGCCUUUCAAUAUUAGCCGCCACAUGUCAAAAAAUUGUUUUGAUUUAAUCCAUUGUAAUUUGGGGGACCCUGUACUGACAUUACUUAUGAUGUAUCAAGAUAUUUCCUUACUAUUAUUUGUUAAACCUCAAGUAUGAUGGUUUCGUGGCUUUGCGUAAUUUUUAUGCCAUGAUAGAAACACAAUUUGAUUCCAAAAUAAAAAUUAUCAGAACUGAUAAUGGGGGAGAGUUUAAUCUAACACAAUUUUAUUAAGAAAUGGGCAUUAUACACCAAACUACAUUUGUAGGAACCUACCCAACAAAAUGCUAUUGUUGAAAGGAAGCAUCAACAUAUUUUGAAUGUAGCAAAAGCACUGAAAUUUCAGAGUGGGUUACUUAUGUCAUAGUAGAAUGAUUGUGUUCUAACAACAGUUUUUCUCAUAAAUAGAACACCCACUCCUAUGCUUAAUAACAAAACACCCUUUGAAGUUCUUUUCAAUACUAAGUCAUGCUAUUCAAGCCUUGGGGUGUUUGGUUGUCUUGCUUUUAUUGCUAAAUUUGCACACAACAGACAUCGGUUUGAUUUAAGGGCAAGGAAAUGUGUUUUCCUAGGAUAUUCUUUUGGAACUAAGGGUUGCAAGUUGCUGGACUUAGAAACCAACAAAAUCCUCGUAUCUAGAAAUGUGGUGUUCCAUGAAAACAUAUUUCCUUACGAAGAAUCCAGUACUAAGGAUGAUGAUAAGAUGUCAAAUUUUACCUAUGAUAAGCUACCAAGUCCUACGGACUUGGCUUAUCCUCAACCAAGCAACUUUGACUUAAAUUAUCCUGUCAAUCCCAAUUUCCAAUGAUAAAUAGAACUAGCACAAAAUUCAAAUCAAGGAAUAGAAUCUUCUUAAAAAAUGAACCUCCUAGUGAAUUUGAGAUAUCACCUAAUUCCCCAGGUAGUCCUCACAUGCCUCGAAGAUCUUCUAGAAGUAGAAGAGCACUACAUAUCUGUAGGUUUUUGUUUGCUAGCAAGCAUCCUCACUCACUCAUUCUCAAGACUCCAACAAGCAGAAAGGUUCUACAACUUCAGGUAGUCCAUUUUCUUUAUGAAGCUAUGUAGGCUAAAAUAAAUGCUCUUAAGUUAAACUAGACCUGGAGUGUGACUAAUCUACCACCUAGAAAGGUAGCUACAAGAUACAGAUGGGUUUAUAAAGUGAAGUUCAAUGCUGAUGGAAAGGUUGAGAGGUAUAAAGCGAGACUGGUGGCAAAAAGAUACACAAAGCUGGAAAGAAUAGAUUACCGUGAGAAAUUCUCAUCUGUAGCUAAAUUGGUAACAGUGAGAAGAUUACUUGCAGUGGCAGCAAUAAAGGGUUGGUACUUGUACCAAUUUCACGUGAACAACACGUUUUUAAAUGGAGACUUGGAGGCAAAAGUUCAUAUGCAAAUGCUUCCUGGUUACUCAGAUAAUGGGUGUAAUGACCCGAGUCUCUGUACCCAAGUCGUUAGCUCGUGUACUGUCCAUUUUGGGUGGGCCUUGCAAUUUGGUACCAGAAUUCAACUUAAGUCUUAUUUAAGGGAAAGGUUAUGAGUUCGAAUUUUAGGGGACGUGACAGAAAGCCGUGAGGGGUAAGUGAGCGCAAGGCCCACCCAAAGCGGACAAUACGUAAACUAGCGGCUUGGAUACAGAGACCCAAGUUGUUACAAUGGGACUUCAAAAAUUCACAAACUUAAUAAAAGUUGAUACUAUUUGAAGCAAGCAUCUCGAUAAUGAUACUCAAAAUUAUCCAUUUCAUCGUUGAUCGGGGCUUUCGUCAAUCCAAGACCAACUACAGCUUAUUCACAAGGAGCACAAGUGAUUUGUUUACGGCCAUAUUAUUCUAUGUUGAUGACAUAAUAAUAGAUGGAGACAAUGUGGAGGUUAUCAAUUCCCUUAAAGUCCCACUUGAUGACAAGUUUAAGACCAAAGAUUUGGGGAAAUUAAAAUAUUUCCUUAGAAUAGAGGUGGCUCAAUCAACAAAGGAGAUUCAAAUUUUCCAAAUAAAGUAUGCAUUGGACAGUUUGGCAAAUUCGGGUACCACUGGAGUUACUCCAGCCAAAAUUCCACUUGAUCUAAACACCAAAUUAUUCAAAGAUAAGGGAGAAACCCUUUCUAAUCCUGAAGACUAGUAGGAAGACUGCUUUACUGAACAAUCACGAGGCCUGAUCUAUCAUAUUUAGUACAUUUGCAAAGUCAGUAUAUGCAAACCCCUAGAGUGCCACACCUGAAUGCUACACAUAAGGUGCUUAGAUACAUCAGACGAUCACCAAGCCUAGGAUUAUUGCUCUCUUUAUCCUCUAGUUUACAAUUAAAGCUUAUAGUAACUCGGACUUUGGGGCAUGCCUAGAUUCUCGAAGGUCAAUCACAAGUUAUUGCAUUUUUAUUAGUUCUACACUGGAAUCUUGGAGAUCCAAGAUACAAAGCACUGUUUCUAGAUCAUCAGCAAAAACAAAGAACAGGGCCAUGGCAGUUGUUUGUUGUGAGCUAACGUGGCUUAGAUACGUCUUUGAUGAUUUACAAAUACCUUAUUCACAACCCGCUGAGUUGUUUUGUGAUAAUCAAGCUGCAUUACACAUAGCAGCUAACCCAGUGUUGCAUGAAAGAGUGAAACAAAUUGAAUUGGAUUCCCAUCUGGUGCAUGAUAGAAUACAAGAAGGGAGUGUAAUUACAAUACAUGUUAAAACUGGCUCACAGAUUGCUGAUAUAUUUACUAAGCCUCUUUGUUCUAAUAUUUUCUAUUCUCACAUAAUACAUGUUGCUCUCUUGGAAAGAAUGAUUUACACAACAUAUAAAGUAAGAAUGAUUUCAAAACUACAGCAACUAAUUUCACAUAUAUUUUUUAUAAACACUAGAAAAAAAUUCAUAUUCCAAAUAACGCUUCUGGGUGUUGAUAAGUGCAAGUUUUUGCACUUAUUCAAGACAUUAAACAUAGAUAUUUGUGAGUUUCAUUGGUGAUUUAUUACCUAAUUUAGUUGUUUUUAUUGUGUAGGUGAAAACCCGAUGCUGAGUGAUGAUUUGAAGGAAUUUGUACGAGAAAAGACGAAAAAGAUAAAGAGAAACGAAGAGGAAGCUUGAAGACGCAACCGAUUUCGGGAAGAAAUAUUUACAGCAAGUGGAGCCCUGUCCAAAAAAGAAGGAGAAUCAGUGGCGCCUAGGCACCACUCAGGCCAUUUUUAUUAUUUUUUAGAAUCCCAGGGACCUUGGUUGCGAGUUCACUUAGCUUUUAAAUUAAAGACUUCACAAAUGCUAUAGAUGGGGCAGACUUUCUUCUUGCAUUUUUGGGGAUAGCCGGUUUCUUCUUCCCUUUUCUUUACUUUUGCUUUUCUUUUUCCUUUCUCCUUUCACCUAUAUUUUCUUGGAUAUUUUCGGGGAAGAUUGGAGCAUAGUGAUGGUGGAAUAGCUUGGAAGAGGAGACCCAUUUAUAUUGAAGAAUUCUCUACCAUUUCUCUCUUUAUUAAUAAGUUUUUCUUUUCAUAUUUUCCAUCAAUGUUUUGUAAGAAAUUGUUAGUUAUUUGUAAAUAUUUCAUGGGUAACUAAAUAUAUUUGUGAUUGGGGUGUUUUUGAACCCGAGUAAUGAUUUUCAAUU
RNAcentral lists this long non-coding RNA (4458 nucleotides) under Olea europaea subsp. europaea. Lineage: Eukaryota; Viridiplantae; Streptophyta; Magnoliopsida; Lamiales; Oleaceae. The record is from RNAcentral.